CUAUUGGAAACUUCAUGUAACGAUUAUUUUCAAACAUAUUUAGAGUUUCAGAAACCAUCGUAUCCAGAGGAGGAACCAGGUAAUUUUGUUUGUUUAACCUGCAAGAAAAGCUUUUAUAAUGCGAACGCGUUACGUAAUCAUAAGACGAUGCAGCAUGACUCCAGAGAUUCUGCCACUGAAGAUGAACAGGCUAUGUUUUGUUCAAAUGGUAACGAUCAGGUAUUUGAUGAUAUUUGUGAUUUUAAAUUUAUACCAUUAAAUAAAUCGGAGAAAGAUCCAGUAACAGAACAAGACGGC
RNAcentral lists this unclassified non-coding RNA (297 nucleotides) under Melitaea cinxia (Glanville fritillary). RNAcentral describes it as "misc RNA ENSMCXG00005013710.1". The record is from RNAcentral. Lineage: Eukaryota; Metazoa; Arthropoda; Insecta; Lepidoptera; Nymphalidae.